CAUAAAUUACUCGUUGAAUCAAAGAGCUAAGCCUUCACCACUGACUACAUAAGAUUGAUGAGUUGAGCCGGAUCUCCAUCACUGACCAUAAACUUCCACCACUUGUGCCGGAACGACCACCUACAGACACCGGACUUCACCGACAGUCUUAACCAAUGCGGCUCCAACAAUGGACAAAAAUCAAUUUUCACCAACGGUAUCAAUCAAUGUUGCUCCAACAAAUUGGCUUGUGACUUGUUGCUUGGGGAUGGGGAUAACUAUAUGGCAAGAGAAUAGGGGUAGGGACUGAGAAGAGAGAGAGAGAGAGAGGGAAAGGAUAUGGGGUUUGUGUAGAUUGGAAUGAUGCAUUUGGG
Molecule: long non-coding RNA, 353 nt
Filed under: Coffea arabica (coffee)
Lineage: Eukaryota; Viridiplantae; Streptophyta; Magnoliopsida; Gentianales; Rubiaceae
Description: long non-coding RNA (CARA_LNC004674)
Source: RNAcentral